Long non-coding RNA from Acanthopagrus latus (yellowfin seabream), 1221 nucleotides. RefSeq lists it as uncharacterized. The transcript has 4 exons. The record is from RefSeq and is a predicted model, not a curated record. NCBI's taxonomy places the organism in Eukaryota, Metazoa, Chordata, Actinopteri, Spariformes, Sparidae.
AUGGACUGAAAUGCUUCGGUGUGGAGAUCAGACUCGAGCUCCUGUGUGAGUGCUCUGUUACAGUAGCCGAACUACAUUACAGACACAACCAUGCCACGUUCUUCUCUUCUACCUACUGAAGCAGGCUGUUACCGGCCACAUCUGGUGAGUUUUGGUUUGCAUCAUCUGCCAGUGUUGGAGGAAGAGACGCAGGAUCCGUUUCGUCACCAUCUUGCUUCACCCCCUUCUCUUCUGCACUGAUUCGAGGACACUUCAGAAGCACGGGGGAAGGCGCUGGGGAGUCUGUGCCUGUCCAGCUGAGCCUGCGCUUCUGGAAAGAAGCACCUUGGAAGGAACGAGCGGGGGAUGUGGUGACGCUUGAGGCCGUGGAGACAGGUUGAGCAGGGAUCUGAGGAAACCAGAGUUUCAGCAUUACCUCCACCUGCAGCAGAGUGUUCAGGUUUCUCUGCACUGCUGGUGACUUCUGUAACUCUACCUAUCCUCAAACUGUUCAAUUAAACAUGGAACAGGAGAUGAGGCUUGAAAUGAAAGGCAACCUCACUACUCCCUUCUUGUCAUUACUCCCAAUUUAAUAAUUUACCUGCCAAAAUUCAACCAAGAUUUAGUGUUCAGUGAUGCCGAGGCAGGAUAACAAUGAGUGACAGAUAGUAAAAACAAUUGACGGUGGGUGAUGGGACAAUGUGGAUGACAUCUUACCCGCUGUUAGGUCUCUGUAAAACCCCCACAAUCCUCUGGAUUCGAUCCAUGGCAACACUCUGCUGGAAACUACUCAAACCUGUCGAUCAAAAACAUAAUAACCCAGUCACUAUUUGCACUCUGAGACUCCACAGUCACGGAAAACGCAUGCACGUGUAGACAGCCUCUCACUCCCUGGUGCACACACCACUUUCACUUUGUCUUAUCGGGAAACUCUCGUGAGCUGAUGAGUCACACGCUGCACUUUGGACUGCAUCAAUAGGCUGACACAAUACAGACUGCUGCACAAAGCAACACUCGACCGCAAUGGACCGGGGCCACUCAGAUCAUAUGGACCUGUGUUCGGCGUCAACAACUUGUGCUGCAAAUAUGCUCAAGUUAAAAGGAGUGAUGCAAGGAUGCUUACCACGGUCAAAUCUGCCCCUCUUCAGUCCAUUCAGCAGCUCCAGAAGGGGCCGGACGAAACCCUGUAGCUCAGCACACUGACAGAGGAAGAGCAAAGGAAGAUAAAUUACUACUGAGUUU